RNAcentral lists this long non-coding RNA (583 nucleotides) under Populus tremula. RNAcentral's name for it is "long non-coding RNA (PTRE_LNC000847)". Lineage: Eukaryota; Viridiplantae; Streptophyta; Magnoliopsida; Malpighiales; Salicaceae. The record is from RNAcentral.
UUUGAUAAUAUUGUCUUGGAUGAAUUGAAUGGAAGUUUGGAUGAUCAUGGCCAACUUGUAUUCCCUUUCGUUCCAAAUAAUUGGUCUUGGCUGAUCUAUUUCCAUGUACGCAACAUCUUUUGGUAAUCCAAUUCCUGUAUAGUAGCAAUAUCUUGUUUCUCCAUUCAAAUAGCUUGGAUCAUGGACAGCUUAUUCAUGAUAAUAUUGGUUUCAAAGUUCAUAAAAAAGGAAUACUUUGUAGGCACCUUUAGUUUCUUUUCUGAUUUAUGAACAUGGUUGGAGGAAAAAGCACAUUGAAAUGAAAGGUUCAUGUGCCAUGAUUUAGUUAUUCAUAACUUAAAUAGCUUGAAUCAUGGACGGCUUAUUCAUGAUAAUGUUGGUUUCAAAGUUGAUAAAAAACGAAUACUUUGUAGGCACCUUUAGUUUCUUUUCUGAUUUAUGAGCAUGGUUGGCGGAAAAAGUACAUUGAAAUGAAGGGUUCAUGUACCAUGAUUUAGCUAUUCAUAACUUACAUUGAGACUGAUCACAUGAUUCUAAAUUUAUGUUCCUUUGGCACUUCAAUAUCGUAGCUAACAAGUAAGAA